UACGGAGGGUGCAAGCGUUGUUCGGAUUUAUUGGGCGUAAAGCGCGUGUAGGCGGUUUCUUAAGUCUGAUGUGAAAGCCCUGGGCUCAACUCAGGAAGUGCAUUGGAUACUGGGAAACUUGAAUACGGGAGAGGGUAGUGGAAUUCCUAGUGUAGGAGUGAAAUCCGUAGAUAUUAGGAGGAACACCGGUGGCGAAGGCGGCUACCUGGACCGAUAUUGACGCUGAGACGCGAAAGCGUGGGGAGCAAACAGG
Molecule: ribosomal RNA, 253 nt
Filed under: uncultured bacterium
Lineage: Bacteria
Description: partial 16S ribosomal RNA
Rfam family: Bacterial small subunit ribosomal RNA
Source: RNAcentral